RNAcentral lists this ribosomal RNA (300 nucleotides) under uncultured bacterium. Its description in RNAcentral is "bacterial SSU rRNA". It matches the Rfam family "Bacterial small subunit ribosomal RNA", at positions 775 to 1067 of the family's 1533-position model. The record is from RNAcentral.
GGAUUAGAUACCCUGGUAGUCCACGCCGUAAACGAUGAGAACUAGGUGUAGCGGGUAUUGACCCCUGCUGUGCCGAAGUUAACGCAUUAAGUUCUCCGCCUGGGGAGUACGACCGCAAGGUUAAAACUCAAAGGAAUUGACGGGGGCCCGCACAAGCGGUGGAGCAUGUGGUUUAAUUCGACGCAACGCGAAGAACCUUACCUGGGUUUGACAUCCUCUGACCGCCUUGGAAACAGGGUUUUUUUCGGUUCUGCCGAAACAGAGUGACAGGUGCUGCAUGGCUGUCGUCAGCUCGUGUCG